AAAUAUGACUGAAGUUCUCAAAUUUAUUUAUGCUAUGAUUCUAUUUCUUUUGUUCCUUGUCGCAAUAAAAGUUGGUGGUGGUAAGCCUUUCUUUCAUCAUUUUCAAUUUUCCUUAUUUACUUCAUAUUUUUGUAGAAAAUCUUUUAUAAUAUUUUAGCAACAUUAUUUUAUUAUAUUUUUUCAUUGCAGAACAUAUUUUCUGUACAAGUGAUGCUGAUUGUACAAACAUUUGGAAUGAGUAUUAUAUUCAUAAGUGUGUUGAUCACGAAUGUAAGUGGGUGUGGAAAUGGGAUUUAGAGCCAUAAUUUUGUAAGAUGGUUAGUUAUUGUAACGGUACCUAAUAAUUUUUUUUCUUUUUCCAAUUUUGUGAACCUUGCAUUUAUGAUAUUGUAUUUUAAGAUGAUGGUACAACAACAAAGAAUGUUAUUUAGAUUAUCUUUUUUUCUUUUAAUUUUAGAAGCAUUAUUGUAACGUCCAAUUCAGAUAUAUCACACUUAUGAGAAUAACAUUAUAUAUU
This 517-nucleotide long non-coding RNA is filed under the name Trifolium pratense (red clover). RNAcentral describes it as "long non-coding RNA (TPRA_LNC006091)". The record is from RNAcentral. Lineage: Eukaryota; Viridiplantae; Streptophyta; Magnoliopsida; Fabales; Fabaceae.